GGAAGCUGUGUGGGGUUUUAUUGAGGCCGGUAAACAAGGAAGUCAUUCGUGAGUCUCUUGGGAGCCAUUCAGAAGGAUACAGACUUGUCUUAUCUGGACUAUGGGAGAGAAAGGGGGUUUGUUGCUGUUAGCUGUUUCCAGAAACAUGAAAAUGUAGUGGAGUUUCACAACCAUGGCCGUUUUCCUGGAGCACAGGACUCAGGUCAAAUUCAACAUUGGCCCCAGCAGCGUGAUAAGAUGCUGGUGAAGUGAACAACGUACUCAACAACAGCAUGGAAGAGAAUUGUGGACACUAAAUGUAUUUUCCUAACUGAAGGUACCAUUACUAUCCUGAACUCCUUGAAUCAAUUUCUUGACUUGGUAGAGUCACAUGUGUGGAAUUUAGCUGGGACUUGGCCAUGCUCUGCUGCACGUAUGAAGUACACUGGAUCUCCAUGGGAUGCUCCUGUAGGUGAAAUAUCAGCCCAGGUCCAAAGGGUCCAUCUACGGAGACGUCUGCUCCUGAGGCCCCGGGCAGGAAAGAGCCAGGGGCAAUAUUUAGGCACUGGAUAACAGAAUAAAAGGACAAAGUCAUUCAGCUGAAGGAAAGGAGCCA
This 595-nucleotide long non-coding RNA is filed under the name Capra hircus (goat). RNAcentral describes it as "lncRNA (ENSCHIG00000002830.1)". Lineage: Eukaryota; Metazoa; Chordata; Mammalia; Artiodactyla; Bovidae. The record is from RNAcentral.